CCUUGUUGACCAGGAUGGUCUCGAUCUCUUGACCUCGUGAUCCACCCGCUUCGGCCUCCCUAGAUUUCCUUUCUUAAUUAUGUUUUCUUCAGACUAGGACAGUUAGCUUGCACUUGCCCAGCAUUAUGGGUGCUAUAAAGAGAAGCCAGCAUAGGGUUAAACAUUCGCCAUGGAAAAUCCUGUCUACAACUUGCAAUCCCCUUGUAAUCAUUGCCCUGCUCUGUGACCUGGUGUCUGGACUAAGUGGGGAAAAGCCAUGGAGUAGAGACCAGAAGGUUUCAAAUUUACUCUCAGCCCUACCUCAAGCUUGCUGUACGACUUUUGGGACAUUCCCUUUUCCUGUCAGGAGUCUGUCUUCUGUCUCCCUUGUCAAUGAGGAUUUAGACUUACCUGAGAAUUCAGUGAAACCUCAGAACCCUCACCUCAGAAAAAAAACAUUUCUGUGUUUCCCUAGGCUUUCAAACCAAGGACUCCCUUAUACAAGAAAGCUCUCAGAGUCUUUUUGCUCUUAUAUUCUAGGACUAUAUGACUGAACAGAUAGGUAUAUACCUAAGAAAAAUGAAAACACAUCCACACAAAAACUAAUACAUGAAUGUUCAUAACAGCAUUAUUCACAAUAGCCAGAAGACAGAAACAAUUCAAAUGUCCAACAACUGAUGAAUGGAUAAACAAAAUGUGUUAUAUCCAUACAAUGAAGUAUUAUUUAAUCAUAAAAAGGAAUGAAGUACUGAUACCUUCUAAACAUAGAUGAGCUUGGAGGUCUGAAAACAUUAUGCUAAGUGAAAGAGAUGAGCAAAAGGCUUUUGUAUGAGUCCAUUUAUAGAAAAUGUUCAUAUACUUAGGAUAAAUACUCUUUCGUGAAGCUUUUGUUUCAGUUAUAUAUGAAUAUAAAUGUACUGUAAUGUGAAAUAUAUUUCAUAUAGCAAGUAAUAGUCAAAACAGUUUGAAAACCACUCUUCUAGAUUAUGUUGAGACAGAUACUUGUGAUCAGGACAGUACCAUAAUAUAAACAACUAAAAUCUUUCUCCUUGUCUUUGAAAGUUCAGUCUUACCGUGUCUCUACUUCCUCACUAUCUUUUGACCCCUCUACCCACUGCAUCCUGGCUUUAUCUUUACUAUCCUAUAGAAAACUGAAACCUCUUGUGAAUAGAAAAAAACAACCAACUUGUUACUAAAUCUCAUGGCCAAGUUUCCAUCUUUACCUUUCCUAACUUUUCUCCCAUUUGAUGCCACUGAUGCCUUCCUCAAUCCUGAAAUGCUCCUUUGCCUUGAGAAUGCCAUCCACAUGACCUGUAUAUUUAUGCUGUCUUCACUCCCUGCAUGGGUUCUUCUUCAUCCAGUCAUUAAUGCCAUUAUUUCUCAGGUUCUUCUGAUCAAAGUCCCCUUUUCUUCUCAUUUUGCAUUUGCACUGAAUGGACUCAUCUACUUCCAAGGCUUGAACUACCAUCUACAUUGCACAUUGAGGCAUCUCCUUUCAACAAAACUACACCACUGGGAAACAAAACAGACAUAGGACCUUGCUUGCAUAUAAGCAGAAAGCUGCUGAUGACUCCAAGGUAGCUCUCUUGGACCCCAGGAAUGAAGGUCCUACUGCUUUCUGGCUAUCUCCUCCUUAAUCUCUCGUAAGCAUAUCCAAGUUAAAAAGUCAAAAAUUGAAGUCAUCUCCCCCAACUCUUGCCAGUUUCCUUCUUCCCCUGAGUCCUUUGUUUCUUGGGAAUGGCAGUCACACUCUGAACUAGCCAGAAACCAAGAAGAUAUCUACUCAUUUUUCCUCUCCCUCACCUCACUGAUGGCCAACUAGUCUUUUAGUCCUGUUGAUUCUCUUCCUCCUUAAUCUCUCUCUUAUUUGUUUCUUUCUCUCUCCCUGCUGCCACUACUUUUGAUCAGUUCUGAUCUAUCACAAUUCAUUACCCGUUCUCUUGUGCUGCUCUCCCUCCCCAAUUAAGCCUCUACUUUUCUCCCCAAAUUCUCUCUCAAAAGCAGUUUUGCUUUUUAUCAAUUUUGUGGUAAAUACUUUGGAUUGGUUUGUAAGGAUUCAGUCCUUCUAGCCUGCCUUUCUAUAUUGCUAAAAAAUCUAAAAACCAAAAAACUACAACAACAAUAAACUGGCAUUUCCAGGCUUCCUUUGCAGCCAGUGUUCUGGAUAUGACAUAGUGAUGCCAAUCAUACACACAUGCACAGUAUUUAGAAGGAGUUGGUGGGUGAGGCAGAAGUCAUGUCUCUGUUGUUUCUGUUGGAAAGCAUAAUGAUGAAGGUGUUAGGGUUUUCUGUGGCUGUGUUACCAUAGAUUCCAGUGUCUAGCCACUGGCUUUGUGCAUUUUGAGAGCCAGAGUAUGGGAUUUUUUUUUUUUGUCACUGAGGAUCUGAUAGACAUAGUGAUACUCUAGCCAACAGAUGGUUAGGGCUGUGGCAGCUUCCUCAUUCCUAAAUUGCAGACAAGGUGGCAUGCUCCUAGAGCCCCCAAUGCCUCAUCUUCCUGCUUGUCAGAGAGAGACAGAGAGAGAGAGUAGCUACCCUGACAUUGUUCUUAGAUUCUUUCUUGGAGGCAUAGCCUAAAGCUUGCCCCUCCAGCCUUCCUACCAAUUUUGUAAGCAUUUUAUUUUCUAUAUUAAAACCUCUUCUGCUGAAAAGAACUACAGUGGUUUAUUUUUGCAGCUGAAACCUGACUUAUAUAACGCCUCUGCUCAAAUGCCUUCAAUAGCUCCCCAGCGCACUUAAGGCAAAUUCUGUAGUGUGGCAUAAAAUUUCCUGCCAAUCUAAUGUCCUUUGGCCUCCGUAUCCUCAGCACUUACCAGUGCCCUUUCAGUCUCUAUUCUCUAGCUACAUAGAAGCUACAGUAAUUCUCAUAACACACCAGGUUAUCUCGCCUCAGAGCCUAUAUAAACUGCUGCUUUAUUUCCCUAGCUCCCCACCUCAAAGCUCAGCUGAGGUGCCACCAGCUCCAGAAGCCUUUCUCUGACGUCCUCUCCCUCAAAAAUAUUCUGAAUGAUAGUCCUCUCCCAUAGAAUCCUAUGUUUAGCCCUCUUGAAACAUUUAUUAAACUGUAUUGUAUUUUUUUUCUUGUUUGUAUCCUUUACUGGACUGUGAAGCUAGGAGGGCAGAGACCAUGACUGUCUUGCUCACUGCUUUCUCCCUUGUGCCCAGCACAGUGCCUGACACUUAGCAGGUGCUUAAUAACAAACACCUGUUGGAUGCAUGAAUGUCUCCUUCAUCCACUGGUCUGCACUCAAAGACUCAUCUUCCAACCACAGAAGAAUGAAGGAGGCUGGGCACUGUUCACUCCAGCCAAGUGAGAAGAGUAAUGACCAAAUAACUACUAUGGAGUUACACACUUGGUUUUCAUUCUGGCUCUUUGGAGAUAGCUGCAUGGAGAAGAUAUUCCACCUCUUCCAGCCUUAGUUUCCCUACCUUUAAAGUAGGGUAAGUGUUGGGAGGAUUACAUGAAUUUGUACAUGUCAAGGCACUUUUUCUUUUCUUUUCAAUAGCUUUUGGAGUAUAAGUAGUUUUUCCUUACAUGGAUAAAUUAUAUAGUGGUGAAGUCAGAUUUUAGUGUACAGCCACCCAUGUAGUAUAUAUUGUACUCAAUAUGUAGUUUUCUAUUUCUUAUCCUCCUCCAACCCUUCCCCUUUGGAGUCUCCAAUAUCUAUUCUACCAUGUUGUAUGCCUUUGUGUACCCAUAGCUUAGUUCCUACUUAUAAGUGAGAACAUACAGUAUUUGAUUUUCUAUUCCUGAGUUACUUUACUUAUAAUAACAGCCUUUAGCUCCAUUCAAUUUACUUCAUAAAACACUAUUUAGUCCUUUUUUAUGGCUAAGUAGUAUUCCACGGUGUUUAUACACCACAUUUUUUUCAUACACUCAUUGAUUGUUGGGCACUUAGAUUAAUCCCAUAUCUUUGCAAUUGUGAAUUUUGCUGUGAUAAACAUACAUGUCUGGGCAACUUUUUGAUAUAAUGACUUCUUUCCAUCUGGGCAGAUACCCACUAGUGAGAUAGCUGGAUCAAAUGGGAAAUCUACUUUUGGUUGAGAAAUCUCUAUAUACUGUUUUCCAUAGAGGUUGUACUAAUGUAUAUAAUAUGGGUUGGCUCUGUGUUCCCAGCCAAAUUUUACCUUAAAUUGUAAUAAUUCCUAUGUGUUAAGGGAGGGGCCAGGUGGAGAUAAUUAAAUCAUGGGGGCUGUUUCCCCCAUACAGUUCUUGUAAUAGUGAGUUCUCAUGAGAUCUGAUGGUUUUUAUAAACAUUUGGCAUUUCCCCUGCUGCUAUAUUUUUUCUUUGCCUGCCACCAUCCAUGUUAAAUGUAACUUGCUCCCCCUUGUCUUCCACCAUAAUUGUGAGACCUCUCUAGCCAUGUGAAACUAUAAAUCCAAAUAAAUUUCUUUCUUUUGUAAAUUG
This is a non-coding RNA of Callithrix jacchus (white-tufted-ear marmoset), 4388 nucleotides long. The record is from RefSeq and is a predicted model, not a curated record. Lineage: Eukaryota; Metazoa; Chordata; Mammalia; Primates; Cebidae.